Molecule: ribosomal RNA, 322 nt
Filed under: uncultured eukaryote
Lineage: Eukaryota
Description: partial 18S ribosomal RNA
Rfam family: Eukaryotic small subunit ribosomal RNA
Source: RNAcentral
CCCUUAGAUGUUCUGGGCCGCACGCGUGCUACACUGAGUAAAUCAAUGGGUAAGGGAACACGAAAGUGCAACCUAAUCUUGAAAUUUGCUCGUGAUGGGGAUCGACGGUUGCAAUUUUCCGUCGUGAACGAGGAAUACCUUGUAGGCGCGUGUCAUCAUCACGCGCCGAAUACGUCCCUGCCCUUUGUACACACCGCCCGUCGCACCUACCGAUUGGAUGGUCCGGUGAAGCCUCGGGAUUGUGGUUCUUGCCGCUUUAUUGUGGCGUGACCGCGAGAACUUGUCUAAACCUUAUCAUCUAGAGGAAGGUGAAGUCGUAACA